RNAcentral lists this ribosomal RNA (658 nucleotides) under Aphelenchoides bicaudatus. RNAcentral's name for it is "partial large subunit ribosomal RNA". It matches the Rfam family "Eukaryotic large subunit ribosomal RNA", at positions 379 to 877 of the family's 3401-position model. The record is from RNAcentral. Lineage: Eukaryota; Metazoa; Nematoda; Chromadorea; Rhabditida; Aphelenchoididae.
AAAAGAGAGUGCAAGAGAACGUGAAACCGUUAUAGUGGAAGCGGAUGGAGCUCGACGUAUCCAAUGCGUAUUCAGUUGUUGACGGGUGCAAUUUGCUUGUUUGGAGUUCUGCAAAGUCUCCGGCAGGUGCUGUUGUGUUCGUUGGCGAUGCAUUUGCGCAUAGAGUGCGCCGAAUCGAUUGAGCUCGCUGUUUGAAGGCUGCAAAGAGGACUCGCUUCGGCUUGAAACCUUUUCGGUCGGAUGGCAGAUGAGCUUGGUUGUAUUAAAGAGGCUGGUGAACUCGUGCUUGCUAGGCUUUGUAGGACUUGUUUAGAGGCGACACAUGUGUUUCUUUUUUACAGGCUUUGUAGAGCUUGGCGAGUGCUCAGCUUCCUAUUCGGUGUCUAGUCGGUCACCCAUUUGACCCGUCUUGAAACACGGACCAAGGAGUUUAAGGUAUGCGCAAGUCAUUGAGCUAAGUUAAACUCAAAGGCGUAAUGAAAGUGGGCCACUCAGUGGCUGUGAUGUGAGUUAGCGGCGAUUCGUCGACGUUAACGCAACAUCGACCCAUGACUAGGGCUUGCUCUGUUGUGGAGUCCGAGCGUAUGCUUUGAGACCCGAAAGAUGGUGAAUUAUGCCUGAACAGGACGAAGUCAGAGGAAACUCUGAUGGAAGUUAC